This 397-nucleotide long non-coding RNA is filed under the name Brassica napus (rape). RNAcentral describes it as "long non-coding RNA (BNAP_LNC010359)". Lineage: Eukaryota; Viridiplantae; Streptophyta; Magnoliopsida; Brassicales; Brassicaceae. The record is from RNAcentral.
AGGAGGAACACGAUGUCACCAGGGCCCAGGUUAGAGUGUUGUGUUAGUGUGUCGUAGAGGGUUAUGGGAUCCUCGAGUUAGGGUAGCACCGAUAUACGGUGUUACGUGUUAGAUCGAGUCGUAGUUAUAGUUAUUAUUGUGAUUGUGGUUGAUUGAUUUGCUUGCAGGUUCUGACAUUAAGUCCUAAGUCUGGUUUAGGUACCGGAUUAGGCUUGGUGUGUAUAUGGUUAUUGUAGGCCCGACGUUGUCCUGUAUGUGUUUGAGGGAUUGCUUGUGAAGGGUGGUGGAUAUUAAAGCUAUGCGGUAUCAUUGGUUGGCCGAUCAUGUUCUUGUUUGAUUGUUGGUCGAUUGACUAGUGAUACUUGUAUAGUCUAAGUGUCUAACACUACAUGAGUAC